CGCCUCGUACAGCGCCGUGUCGGGGACCCAGGACGCCGCCCUCUCAAGGCGGUAGCACGGGUUCGAAUCCCGUUGGGGCUA
Molecule: transfer RNA, 81 nt
Filed under: Pseudonocardiales bacterium
Lineage: Bacteria; Bacillati; Actinomycetota; Actinomycetes; Pseudonocardiales
Also listed under: 1 other name
Description: tRNA-Glu
Rfam family: tRNA (bases 11-81)
About the family: Transfer RNA (tRNA) molecules are approximately 80 nucleotides in length.
Source: RNAcentral